This 387-nucleotide ribosomal RNA is filed under the name uncultured bacterium. Its description in RNAcentral is "bacterial SSU rRNA". It matches the Rfam family "Archaeal small subunit ribosomal RNA", at positions 339 to 726 of the family's 1478-position model. The record is from RNAcentral.
GCGCGAAAACUUUACAAUGCUGGCAACAGCGAUAAGGGAACCUCGAGUGCCAGGUUACAAAUCUGGCUGUCGAGAUGCCUAAAAAGCAUUUCAUAGCAAGGGCCGGGCAAGACCGGUGCCAGCCGCCGCGGUAACACCGGCGGCUCGAGUGGUAACCGUUAUUAUUGGGUCUAAAGGGCCUGUAGCCGGCCGGAUAAGUCUCUUGGGAAAUCUGGCAGCUCAAUUGUCAGGCUUUCAGGAGAUACUGUCUGGCUCGAGGCCGGGAGAGGUGAGAGGUACUUCAGGGGUAGGGGUGAAAUCUUGUAAUCCUUGAAGGACCACCAGUGGCGAAGGCGUCUCACCAGAACGGACCUGACGGCAAGGGACGAAAGCUAGGGGCACGAACCG